RNAcentral lists this long non-coding RNA (1153 nucleotides) under Anas platyrhynchos platyrhynchos (common mallard). RNAcentral describes it as "lncRNA (ENSAPLG00000024221.1)". Lineage: Eukaryota; Metazoa; Chordata; Aves; Anseriformes; Anatidae. The record is from RNAcentral.
GAGAACACAGUAUUAUGACUUUCGGCAAUUUUACAAUGAACAAAUAUUCAACGUGCAAAAUCAUAAAGGGAAAGAGGCCACAUCUCAGUCUCCGCGGUGUGAUGCAGCCAUUCAGACCGUGUGGAGUGGAGGCGAGUGUAACCGUAGCAGCCCUGCUGCUACCGCACAGACCAAAACAACAGCACAGAAGGUCUCACACGUUUCUGCACGCGUUGCUUUGCCUGCUCUGUGCAGUUCAAGGGUAAUUAUACUCAAAUCCAACAAAGAACACUUACAGCACCUAAAAAUCUGGCCCAGUGCUUCCUCUAACUACCAGGGCUAGAGAAAACAGCCUGAAACAUUGAGCUGAAAGCUCUUCUUUUGACUUCGGUGGUGAAUAAUUCAUUCUAGCACUAAAUCUGAACUUAAAAUCCAUCAGAAAGGACUACAAAAAGACAGAUCCACGUGGCCAAACAGUUUCUCAGCCCUGCUGAAGACUGCAAGCCUCUUUACUCGCAUCUGAUUCCUAAGUGCUCGUUCUUUGUGUGUGAAUCACUGUGGAGCGGGACAGCUGGUCCCACCUGGUAUUUUCCCACUACGAAAACAUGAUGCCCCACAUUUCCUCAUUCUAAACAGCACAACAGCCAAAAACCAGGCUGAAGUGUAACAGAAAACAUCAACCGCUAACGCCUCCUCCUUACUUCAGAGUCUCCGCAGUGCCCACUUUGUCAGUUAUGCCUCCUGUACUGCUGCUGGGAGCCAAGGGGUCUCAGACAGACAGACAAAAUUACCAAUUUGAGAAUGUUUUCCUCCCUUUUCAUAGGCUUGCAUGAUGUGUUAACCAGCCCCGGGCAGGUUAGAUCAGAGCAUCAUCAGCAUGUGUAUCCCCACAUGCAACAAUGAACCCCUUUUUGGGACCAGGCAAGUGAAAAUGGUGUCUGGUUCUGACAGUGAAAUCAAAUGCAAUAUGUUGAGGAAGAGGAGUACUUCAGAAGCAGCAAAAGCAUGAAUCAAUUUGCUAUCUUUGAGUACUACAAAACAGGAGUAGUAAAUUGAAGCCACCACUGUCACAGCAUGGUUUCACUUGUCAUACAGCAGGACCUGAGGCAAAAGCCAGAGGAGCACCCAAAGACGAGCUCAGAGAAACACAAUAGGACCAUAAUUUUAAAUAAGG